Non-coding RNA from Podarcis lilfordi (Lilford's wall lizard), 1391 nucleotides. Lineage: Eukaryota; Metazoa; Chordata; Lepidosauria; Squamata; Lacertidae. The record is from the annotation of a GenBank genome assembly.
CCGGCAGAAGCGAGCGCCUGGGCCAGGGACACAAAGCUCCCUCGACUGGCACUGUGGGGCAGCCGAGCCAAGACUUGGCCCGACCCAUAGGAAAGGAUCCAGACCCUACAGGUGGGAAUGGAGCAAGGAGAUCUUGCAAGGAGUGUGCAGGGCCUCAGCCGAAACAAGUGGGCUUCAAACUCUGCUCAAACGCGGUGAGUUCCCAAGGUUGUAGCAGCAGCAGCUGGUGGAGAGCAGGACUCGAACCCACGGCUUCCAGUUCCGAGAAAAGAGAGGCUCAACAUCAGGAAGAACUUUCUGUUUGACUGUGGAAUGGAAGGCGGCAAACUCUCCUUCCUUGGAGGGUUGGGCAGCCAUCCGUCCGGGAUGCUUUAGCCGAGAUUCCUGCAUUGCAAGGGGGUUGGGAUGGAUGUCCUUCAGGGGUCCCCUUCCAAUGCUACGAUUUUGCGAUUCAUAAUCGGGAAGAUGGUGGCGACGGCAGACGAAGCAGCAAGCAAAGUGCGUGGCAGAAAGCUGGAAACAGAAUACAGGGUUGCUGCUCUUGCGCUCCCAGGGCCCUGAAGCGGCUUUUGCAUUCCAGCUUAGUCCUGCUUGCUUUCUCCCUCAUACUUUCAUCUCCAGAUAAAAGCCCAGUGGAAAUGGGUCCUGGCCGCCGCAAGCCCUUUUGGGCCCUGUGUAAAUCAUCAUUUGUCACAAACAGAUCUAAGCUUUUCGUUCUUCCUGGCGGUUGUCUGGCUGAGCCCGGCUCUGCAAAAGCUGCCUCCUUUCGUUCAAUAAGGAGAAGUCCUCCUGGUACUGCAAAAUUGCUUGCAGAAGCCGAGCCGAGAUCCAGCGGAGGGCCAUGCAAAGGGCACCUUUCGAGCAUGCGCAGAGUGCCCUCCUUCCUUGGGGCCAGGGAGCAAGCAGCCCAGAGGCGUCUGGGAUCCUGAGAAAAUCUGAGCUCACCUUUUCGAAACAGCCUCUUGCAAAUCGGCUUGUUGGGGAAGAGUUUGAGGCUCUGGGAAGCUCUUGCGUUGCAAGCCGAGAAUUUCUUGGCACUGGGGCGGCUGCCCCGAAGGAAAUGGCCCAUUUCCCAGAUGCUUAGACCCCGGAGAAGCCCCUCUUCAGGAGGGCUCUUUCUCUGCCACCAGGCCAGGCAGCUGGAGAGCGGCUCUGGUUCGGAGCCCAGUCGAAACAGGAUCCGUCUCCCAGGAAAUGGCGAGGCAGACGGUCCGAGGCCUUUUAUGGAGAACUUUCGAACAAACAUCAAGGGAAUUGAGAGAGGCGGCUCUUGGGCGGGUUAGGAGGCAGCAGUAGUGGAAAAGCAAAACAGGGAAGAAACAGAACAGGUGUCCGGCUGGUAACCGGGCAGAAAUAAAAUCAGAGGCGAGGUUGCAAACCCGUCUGGGCUG